UUUUUUUUUUUAAUUUUUUUUUAAAUUUUUAUUUAUGAUAGUCAUAGAGAGAGAGAGAGAGAAUGAGACAGAGACACAGGCAGAGGGAGAAGCAGGCUCCAUGCACCGGGAGCCCGAUGUGGGAUUCGAUCCCGGGUCUCCAGGAUCGCGCCCUGGGCCAAAGGCAGGCGCCAAACCGCUGCGCCACCCAGGGAUCCCUUCCCUCUCUCUUUAAAAACUUAAGAUAAAUUACUUACACCCAGAAGUCCAUAAUCUAAUCCCAAUUUAUCUUUAUACAACUUAACUAGAGUCGAAUCCUUUGCUCAGGUGAGGUAUUUUACCUUCCUGUGGGCUCCUCAUUCUACCCACUGUUGGCAAUUACUUCUUCAGUUCUUUAUGUGGUGUUUUAAAUGAAGAGAGCUAUAAAUAAAAUAUGUUUUUAUGCAGUGUGUAUACUGUCCUAGAAACUGAACCAAACCUGCUGAAAAACAUGACCUGAUUUGAGAAUCCUGGACAUGAAUACCACUGCUUGAAAUUCCAUUAGUUACAUAUUCUGGAUCCUCUAAAAUCAACCUCUAUUAAAAUGAAAAAUUCACAUGGUGCAGACAAGCCCUCACUUCCUAAGGUGAAUUUCCUCCUAAGCAUACUUCUUCCUGGGUUCAAGAGAAGAAACCAUGACCAAAAAUCAGAAAAAAGGUGAGAACUGGCAAAACAAAAACUAGAAGCCAGUCUGAAUCUUCACUUUUCUGUAAGGCUAAUGUGUUUGCUUUAGGGUUAACUUAGCCUAGGUAUGAUUAUAAACAUCACAAACAAACAAAAAUAAAUAAAAUUAAAAUUAAAAAAAAAUAAAAUAAACAUCGCAAACCUUUCAAAGAAAGCAAGCCAGAACUCUCAACACCUUGUUACACAAGAUUUUUAAAGCUUAUCAGAAAAAUUUAAAAAUACCACCACUUGGUAAAAGCUGUAGAAUUCAGAUUAAAAUUUAGUCAUAAUAUCUGUAAUUCUAUUAAAUCAUUCCAAACAUCGCUUAGGGCUAAAAGACUCAUCUCCCUGAGAUGACUCGAAGAGAUCAAGAGUCACAUGCUCCUCUGAGCCAGCUAGGCACCCCAAAGGCUCAUCUAUAUUUUAAGUAAAAUAGCAUCAGAUUCAUAGGAAAUAAAAGAGAAAAUUUUAAGCUGCUUCUACUACUCAAAUAUUAUUUUUUCUUGUUUUUUAGCCAUACCAUUUAGUUCCCUAUUUAUUUAAUGCCGUACUACAAAGGUCUUGGGGGAACAUAAAGUAUAACAUGUGGUUGUGGUUCUCCAAUCUCAAAGGGCUUAGAAAUAUA
Molecule: long non-coding RNA, 1306 nt
Filed under: Canis lupus familiaris (dog)
Lineage: Eukaryota; Metazoa; Chordata; Mammalia; Carnivora; Canidae
Description: lncRNA (ENSCAFG00000056598.1)
Source: RNAcentral